This is a long non-coding RNA of Myxocyprinus asiaticus (Chinese sucker), 1960 nucleotides long. RefSeq lists it as uncharacterized. The record is from RefSeq and is a predicted model, not a curated record. Lineage: Eukaryota; Metazoa; Chordata; Actinopteri; Cypriniformes; Catostomidae. The transcript is spliced from 3 exons.
GCGUGCAGAGAGAACUAGAGCCCAGUAACUUUACCAUGUAAAUGUGUGUGAUUGUGUACUUAUCUUUUCAGGGUUUGCCGUCGAAACCGAAUGUCCACACGCAGCCUUUAGUGAGAAAGGGAUUUACGUUAAGUAAACACAGACUGUUGACUCGUUUUUUACUGGUGUUAGUGAUAUUUUAGUGCUUGGCAAUGGGAAUACGCUGCGAAGCGGAAGUCUGUAGCAUCCGCAUUGGAAGAACACGCUAUGAAUGAAUAAUGGGUAAUUUCGCUGACUGUGGAAAAAGGUGGAUAUCACUGAUUACAAUUCUAAACCGUGCACAAUUGAAUAUCGACAAAAUUGCAAAUGGAGGUCAUCUGCUGCGUUCUAUUCAAGUCGGAUGUGGGAUAUUCCACUUGAUAUCUCCGAUCUCCAACCGUAAAUGUAUUUCAUUGCCAGAUGCUCGGAAGAUGACGUUUAAGGAAAUAAAACUGCAAUGUUACAGUUAGUUUAGCAGGUGUUUGACUGUCACCAGAGAUGUCUCCUAGCAACCCAAUUCAUAAGCAACCUGCAACGCUAGCAUUUGUGCUACAUGUGUACGAUUAUCAAAAGAGAGUAUGAUUUGCUAUGUUUUGAACACCUGAUACUCUGCUAACGUUUGUUAAACACGCUUUAAUAUCAUGUAAUGUAGGAACUUUGAUUCAUUUAUCGAUAUUAUGUAAUACAAGUGAAUGUUUAUCACUUAUUUUGUACAUCUUCCUGAGAGCCGACAUGAUUGUGUGACGUCACGCAGGAGGGUGAAGGGACAAUCCCCCUGGAGCAACCUGGAUUAAGUGCCUUGCUCAAGGACACAAUGGUGAUGGCUGUGGGGAUUGAACCAGCAACCUUCUGAUUACAAGUCCUCGUGGUGGCGUAGUGACUCACCUCAGCCAGGAUGGCGGAGGACGAAUCUCAGUUGCCUCCGCAUCUGAGACCGUCAAUCCGCGCAUCUUAUCACGUGGCUUGUUGAGCGCUUACCACAGAGACCUAGUGAGUGUGGAGGCUUCACGCUAUUCUCCGUGGCAUCCACGCACAACUCACCACACGCCCCACCAAAAACGAGAACCACGUUACAGGGACCACGAGGAGGUUAACCCAAUGUGACACUACCCACCCUAGCCAAUUGGUUGGAGUCACUCAGCACACCCUGGAUUCGAACUUGCGACUCCAGGUGUGGUAGUCAGCGUCUUUACUUGCUGAGCUAAAAUAAAAAAUAAAAUUGUUUAUUGUUAGUUCAUAGUGCAUGAACUGAUGUUAACAAAUGCAACUUUUGAUUUAGAAAAAUGUAUUAGUAUUAACAUUAACUAAGAUUAAUAAUGCUGUAAAAGUAUUGUUCAUAGUUAAUGUUAACUAAUGUUCUUAACUAAUGUUAACAAAUUGAACCUUAUUGUAAAGUGUUACCAAAAUGUAUAUAUAUAUAUAUAUAUAUUUUUAGUUAUAUAUAAAGAGGUGUGUGUGUGAAAAAAAAAAAGAUGAGAAGGAUUUUGUUGGAUCAUUACUCCAAAAAUAGUUCCCAACUGAACACUUAAGUGUUUGAUUUUAAAUUGAACCCAGUUCUUCCUUUUACAUGCGACUUCAAUUUGAGGAAAAACAACAGAACUGGAAUAUUCUGGAUCUGUCCGGGACAUUUGCUUCAGGCUUUCAUAAAAGCCAACUUACUCAGUGAAGUAACAACACUGAGCACAAAUCUGCCUGAAACCUGUUACCUUGCCCUGCUCCCACUGGAUUUGCCAUCACAUGAUCAAAACAAAGAGGUCACAUGGUCCUGCACAUGGCUCACCAUGACUCAGCACAGGCAACAUAAACACAUGGUUACCUUUGUUUGUUAAGUUUAGAAUUUAAGCCAUUCCCUUUGUCCUCACAAUUUAUAAUUGUGCAUUUGAUGGGGCAGAUUACAGAGCCAGAGGAAAAUUUUAUUGCUCAGAGGUUGCUCUUUUAUAGC